CCUACGGGUGGCAGCAGUGAGGAAUAUUCGUCAAUGGGCGGAAGCCUGAACCAGCCAAGUAGCGUGCAGGAUGACGGCCCUACGGGUUGUAAACUGCUUUUAUACGGGAAUAACGCGCCUUACGUGUAGGGCUUUGCAUGUACCGUAUGAAUAAGGACCGGCUAAUUCCGUGCCAGCAGCCGCGGUAAUACGGAAGGUCCGGGCGUUAUCCGGAUUUAUUGGGUUUAAAGGGAACGUAGGCCGCAUGUCAAGCGUGCUGUGAAAUGUCCGGGCUCAACCCGGGCCUUGCAGCGCGAACUGGCGAGCUUGAGUCCGCGGAAGGCAGGCGGAAUUCGACGUGUAGCGGUGAAAUGCUUAGAUAUGACGAAGAACCCCGAUUGCGAAGGCAGCUUGCUGCAGCGGAACUGACGCUGAUGCUCGAAAGCGCGGGUAUCGAACAGGAUUAGAUACCCGAGUAGUC
RNAcentral lists this ribosomal RNA (460 nucleotides) under uncultured bacterium. RNAcentral's name for it is "partial 16S ribosomal RNA". It matches the Rfam family "Bacterial small subunit ribosomal RNA", at positions 338 to 795 of the family's 1533-position model. The record is from RNAcentral.